Molecule: long non-coding RNA, 3269 nt
Filed under: Homo sapiens (human)
Lineage: Eukaryota; Metazoa; Chordata; Mammalia; Primates; Hominidae
Description: non-protein coding CCDC144NL-AS1:44
Source: RNAcentral
GAAUCAUGGAAUCAUAGUGACCAGUAACUGUUAUGGACUGGAUUGUAUCCCCCUCCAAUUCAGUUAUGGUGCUGCUUCAGAAAGAAAAGAGAUAGUUUCCCUUGCAAAGUUAUCAAAGUGCUCCCCAGAAGACAUUAGGUAUUUGCUUUCUAGUCUACAUACAAUGAAAAGGAAAAAACGUCAGUUCCUGAAGCUCUCUCAAAACAUCAACAGAUGGAAAGACGUGCCCAUGUCCUCCCCUCCCUCCACUCUGGGGGCUUGGAAAUGCUGCAGCAGGGAGCAGGCCCCAGGCUGGACCUGCCCUGUCCUCACGACGAGUGUGUGCAAAAGUGAACAAUAAAUCAUUUCAAAGAUGCAAGGAAGAAAAACCAAAACAUCAACAGAAUCUUCUUUCCCAUAAUCUUCAUGCACCUCCUGGUCCGGAUGAGUUUAUGUUCCCAUCUCCGAGCACAGGGAUUGAUUGUGAUGGCAUUUAUAGGACUGAGUGCCCCACACUCUGUGAUCCAGCAUGGAGUUAUGAUUUACAUCACCACAGGAAGAGUACAGAGGCUUCAACAGAAAAAAAGCAAAAACAACAGACCUUCAUUCAGCUUAGGAACAUAAUAAAUAGGACGAAGUUGAAUAAACGAAAUGGAGGGGAGUGAAGUAUUCCAGAUGGAAGAGGCAGUACGUGGCCAAGAGGAAACAGACCAUGUGCGCUGGAGAAAAAGGAUGGCCAGACUUGCAGAAACCUGGAAUUGGUGAUUGGCUUUAGAAGUGGAGAGACAAAAAAGGAGGCAUAGAAAGUGCCAACAUUUGGCUACACAGGGAAGAAAGACGUAAAAUAAUAAAAACAUUGGCAUCACCUGUAGACUCAAAUCCUGUGAGUGAAGGACCUGAGCAAUGAAGGAUGGAUUGAACUCGUGAUUAGCCUUCUUCAGCAUAUGUAAAAUGAUGUCUGCUUUUCUUCUCUAUUUGUCAUUUUACCGACUUUUUAUAUAUAGUAGUUUCCCCAUAUCCAUGGAGGAUGUAUCCCAAGACCCCCAGAGGAUGCUUGAAACCACAGAUAAUAACAAACUCUAUGUAUCCUAUGAUUUUUCCUGUACAUCCUUACCUAUCAUAAAGUGAGUGUAUAAACUAGGCACAGGAGAUUAAAAACAAUAACUCAUAAUAAAAUAGAACAAUUAGUACAACCUAAUGAAAGUUAUCUGAAUGUGAUCUCUCUCAAAAUAUCUUAUUGUAGUGUACCAUGGGUAACUGAAAUGAUAGAAAACAAAAUUGCUGAUAAAGGGGGAUAUUGUAGUAAAAUAAAGGGGGAUGGGUAGAGCGUAGGAAGCAUUCACAAUUAGAACAGUUGGCAGUAGGGAAAGAAACAUACUUUAAAUUGGAAUGUGGAUCACAUGGCUGCCUCCUGCCAGUCAUGAUCGCAGGGUACAGAGGCCUCUGGUAUGUCAGGUCUUCUCUCCCACCACUAAUACUGCCCAAAAGACUCCAUCAGCAACCAGAGCUGAAUCACACACAACCCAGAUUGUCAUUUCUGAUGACUUUGACUUAAACAAACAGACAUAUUUUUAAUCUUUUUAGUGUGUGUGAAACUAGCAAGGCCUAAUGAAUUGAGUAUAUGGAUGAGGUUUGUGGCCUCUGUAACGUUUUCUCCAACCAGAACCUACUGAAAUAGCACAGAUGGUGAUGAGUAUGGUUCAAACACAAGAAUUCUUGGGUAAGUGACAAGAAUCUCGGUCUCCUGCCAUUUCCAUCUCUGCAUUUACUUACUGUGUGAAUUUGGACGAGUCAUGUAAUCUUCUGGCUUCAGUGUGUUUAUCUCUGUAAUUAAUAUGUUCAGUAACAGUUCUUCCCUCUGACCUAAAAAUAACCACUUCUUCCAAAGGUAUAUAUUAGAACUAUAUACAUAUAUACUAUACAAAUAUCUAACAUUUAUAUACUUAAUAUAUGUAAUAAACAUACUACACAUGUAAAUUUAAUGAUCUACCCUAUUCUCAGCCUCUACUUUCCUCUGACAAUGACAUCAUUCAAAUACUCUAAAAAGCUCAUAUUAUAGAAUCUUUAUAUUUAAAAAAGUUUUGUAAUGCUCUAAACUUAAUUGCAUAUUGCUAAGUGAAAGAGGCCAGUCUGAAAAAGCUAUGCACUGUAUGAUUCCAACUAUAUGACAUUCUGGAAAAGCCAAAACUAUAGAGACAAUAAAAGUAUCAAAGGCCUUUAGGGGGUUCAGGGAAAUGGGUGAGGAAUUAAAUAAAUGGAGUACAGCACACUUUUAGGGCAGCGAAACUAUUGUGUAUGGUACUCUAACAGUGGAUAUGUAACAUUACACUUUUAUCAAAACCUAUAAGCCCCAAACAGAAUGUUGUAAAUGUAAACUCUGGACUUCAUUUAUUUGUAGAGACAGGACUUUAGUUAAAAGUCCAUAUUGGUUUAUUAAUGGUAGCAAAUAUACCACACGAACGCCAGAUGCUAGUAAGAGCAGAAACUGUGUUGGGAGGAGGGAAGAUGUAUGGGAACUGGACUUUCUGUGCAGUUUCUCUCGGUAAACCUAAAACUGCUCUAAAAUUUUUCUAUUGAAUUUUUCAAUUAUUCCAGUUAUUCUCUAUAAAUUAGCAUACCUAUUGGCCCCCAAUUACCUUGCUAAUUUUAGGUUACUUAUUUUUAUAUGGUUCUCGAUUUAGUCUCCUUGGGCAAAUAGUAAACUGCAUGGCUUUUACUCUCUCUGACUUUCUUUUUCUGUCCUUCACAGAAAUUGAAGUUGAAGUAUAAGGAGAAUUUUUACAUCACCCAGGUUCUAAUUUGGAAGGUUUCUAACAGCCCUCUGUCCUCUUCUGGUGCUCACUGUGAAAGAAUUUGCACCCUGCAACACUAAGUGUUUGUGCUAGAAUCCACUUCUGAUGUUGGCUGCUCUGACACAGCUUCCAUUCGGCAGGGUCUCACUCUUGUCGCCCAGACUGCAUUGCAGUGGGGUGAUCUCGGCUCAUUGCAACCUCUGUCUCCCGGAUUCAAGCAAUUCUCCUGCCUCAGCCCCCCAAGUAGCUGGGUUUACAGGUAUGUGCAACCAUGCCCAGCUAAUUUUUUUUUGUAUUUUUUUCAGUAGACAUGGUUUUUUUUUUUAAAUUUUAUUAUUAUUAUACUUUAAGUUUUAGGGUACAUGUGCGCAACGUGCAGAUUUGUUACAUAUGUAUAUAUGUGCCAUGUUGGUGUGCUGCACCCAUUAACUCGUCAUUUAGCAUUAGGUAUAUCUCCUAAUGCUAUCCCUCCCCACUCCCACCACCCCACAACAGUCC